AACUAUAAAAACGUGAUACUUUUUACUGACGUGGUGCUGACGUGGCAACCCGUGCAAAACACUACACCACAUGCAAGUGGUGGUAGCCUGACAGGGUGUAAAUAGUUUCACUUUUUUAUAGUUUAGAUGUGUAAUAGGCCACUAGUAUAGUUUAGGUGUGACUUCGACUUUUUGGGUAUAAUUUAAGGUGAAAACGAUGUCUUUUUCCAAUUGCAGGAGGGGAGUGUUUAGUUGGCAAAAUGCAUCAUACUUUUGUAGACGAGCUAAUAUACAUUAAAGAAAGCAGCUUCCUCAUCUUCUCUUCCCCCAACAACUUCACUUUGGAGGAAUUGCAAUCAAAUCCAACCCUUCACCCGCUCG
Molecule: long non-coding RNA, 360 nt
Filed under: Capsicum annuum
Lineage: Eukaryota; Viridiplantae; Streptophyta; Magnoliopsida; Solanales; Solanaceae
Description: long non-coding RNA (CANN_LNC021772)
Source: RNAcentral